GGUUCGGUAGUUCAGCUGGUUAGAAUGCCGCCCUGUCACGGCGGAGGUCGCGGGUUCGAGUCCCGUCCGGACCG
RNAcentral lists this transfer RNA (74 nucleotides) under Pedobacter zeaxanthinifaciens. RNAcentral describes it as "Nubsella zeaxanthinifaciens tRNA-Asp". It matches the Rfam family "tRNA". Rfam says of the family: Transfer RNA (tRNA) molecules are approximately 80 nucleotides in length. Their secondary structure includes four short double-helical elements and three loops (D, anti-codon, and T loops). RNAcentral also lists the same sequence under 19 other names. Lineage: Bacteria; Pseudomonadati; Bacteroidota; Sphingobacteriia; Sphingobacteriales; Sphingobacteriaceae. The record is from RNAcentral.